AUACGGAGGGUGCGAGCGUUAAUCGGAAUUACUGGGCGUAAAGAGCGCGUAGGUGGCUUGGUAAGUCGGAUGUGAAAGCCCCGGGCUUAACCUGGGAAUGGCAUUCGAAACUGCCAGGCUAGAGUAUGGUAGAGGGAAGUGGAAUUCCGGGUGUAGCGGUGAAAUGCGUAGAUAUCCGGAGGAACGCCAGUGGCGAAGGCGGCUUCCUGGACCAAUACUGACACUGAGGUGCGAAAGCGUGGGGAGCAAACAGGAUUAGAUACCCCGGUAGUCC
RNAcentral lists this ribosomal RNA (274 nucleotides) under uncultured bacterium. RNAcentral describes it as "partial 16S ribosomal RNA". It matches the Rfam family "Bacterial small subunit ribosomal RNA", at positions 523 to 796 of the family's 1533-position model. The record is from RNAcentral.